This 291-nucleotide long non-coding RNA is filed under the name Gallus gallus (chicken). Lineage: Eukaryota; Metazoa; Chordata; Aves; Galliformes; Phasianidae. The record is from RNAcentral.
UGGGGGAUCUCGUUGGGAUACGGCCGGGGGAGCUCUGUCUCCAGCUCACGGAUGUCCUCGUUGAGAUCCACAUUGCUCAGCUGCCCAGGGCGCAGGAAGGAGGAAGGAGUGAACUGCCGGGCGCCGCCCGCCGAGCCGGGCCCGGUGCCGUUGAGCAGCGGGGUGGUCUCCCCCGCACGCUCGUCCUCGUCGUCGCGGGGGUCGCGGCCGGACCACGACACCUUCUUGGCGACGUUGGCCAUGCGGGGCGGCUGAGGCGCGCGGCUCCGGCGGCCCCCGUCUCACCGGCCG